Molecule: ribosomal RNA, 459 nt
Filed under: uncultured bacterium
Lineage: Bacteria
Description: bacterial SSU rRNA
Rfam family: Bacterial small subunit ribosomal RNA
Source: RNAcentral
UACGGAAGGCAGCAGUGGGGAAUAUUGCACAAUGGGCGAAAGCCUGAUGCAGCUAUGCCGCGUGUAUGAAGAAGGCCUUAGGGUUGUAAAGUACUUUCAUCGGGGAGGAAAAAAACAAAACUAAUAAUUUUAUUUCUUGACGUUACCCGAAAAAGAAGCACCGGCUAACUCCGUGCCAGCAGCCGCGGUAAUACGGAGGGUGCUAGCGUUAAUCAGAAUUACUGGGCGUAAAGAGCACGUAGGUGGUUUUUUUAAGUCAGAUGUGAAAUCCCUGGGCUUAACCUAGGAACUGCAUUUUGAAACUGAAAUACUAGAGUAUCGUAGAGGGAGGUAGAAUUCUAGGUGUAGCGGUGAAAUGCGUAGAUAUCUGGAGGAAUACCUGUGGCGAAAGCGGCCUCCUAAACGAAUACUGACACUGAGGUGCGAAAGCGUGGGGAGCGAAACAGGGAUUAGACUACC